This 433-nucleotide ribosomal RNA is filed under the name uncultured bacterium. Its description in RNAcentral is "partial 16S ribosomal RNA". It matches the Rfam family "Bacterial small subunit ribosomal RNA", at positions 29 to 507 of the family's 1533-position model. The record is from RNAcentral.
AACGAACGCUGGCGGCAUGCCUAACACAUGCAAGUCGAACGAGACCUUCGGGUCUAGUGGCGCACGGGUGCGUAACGCGUGGGAACCUGCCCUUAGGUUCGGAAUAACUCCCCGAAAGGGGUGCUAAUACCGGAUAAUGUCUUCGGACCAAAGAUUUAUCGCCUUUGGAUGGGCCCGCGUUGGAUUAGCUAGUUGGUAGGGUAAAAGCCUACCAAGGCGACGAUCCAUAGCUGGUCUGAGAGGAUGAUCAGCCACACUGGGACUGAGACACGGCCCAGACUCCUACGGGAGGCAGCAGUGGGGAAUAUUGGACGAGGGGCGAAAGCGUGAUCCAGCAAUGCCGCGUGAGUGAUGAAGGCCUUAGGGUUGUAAAGCUCUUUUACCCGGGAUGAUAAUGACAGUACCGGGAGAAUAAGCUCCGGCUAACUCCGUG